UCAUACCUGAAUCCACUCAUUAUGCUGCUACGGGUCUGAUGACAUAGAUUUCAUUGCUGAGUGUUACUGCAUUAUACAAAUUGCAAACUGGGCCAAACAAGAGGUUAAAGGCACUGACUCUCCAAUGGGGAGAGUGUUAGUAAAACGUCUG
Long non-coding RNA from Orcinus orca (killer whale), 151 nucleotides. RefSeq lists it as uncharacterized. NCBI's taxonomy places the organism in Eukaryota, Metazoa, Chordata, Mammalia, Artiodactyla, Delphinidae. The record is from RefSeq and is a predicted model, not a curated record. The transcript is spliced from 3 exons.